GUGGGGAAUAUUGGACAAUGGGCGAAAGCCUGAUCCAGCCAUGCCGCGUGUGUGAAGAAGGUCUUCGGAUUGUAAAGCACUUUAAGUUGGGAGGAAGGGCAGUAAGUUAAUACCUUGCUGUUUUGACGUUACCGACAGAAUAAGCACCGGCUAACUUCGUGCCAGCAGCCGCGGUAAUACGAAGGGUGCAAGCGUUAAUCGGAAUUACUGGGCGUAAAGCGCGCGUAGGUGGUUUUGUAAGUUGGAGGUGAAAGCCCCGGGCUCAGCCUGGAAAUGACCUCCAAAACUGCAGGACUAGAGUACGGUAAAGGGUAGUGGAAUCUCCUGUGUAGCGGUGAAAUGCGUAGAUAUAGGAAGGAACACCAGUGGCGAAGGCGACUACCUGGACUGAUACUGACACUGAGGUGCGAAAGCGUGGGGAGCAAACAGGAUUAGAAACCCGGGUAGUCC
This 450-nucleotide ribosomal RNA is filed under the name uncultured bacterium. RNAcentral describes it as "bacterial SSU rRNA". It matches the Rfam family "Bacterial small subunit ribosomal RNA", at positions 354 to 796 of the family's 1533-position model. The record is from RNAcentral.